AUGUAGCAUACCUAAUAAAAAAAUCUAUAUUAUAACAAGAAAGAAACUGACUUAUAUGUUGAUAACAAUAGCAAUUGCUUUCCUGCAUAUCAUCAUUACUACUGCCUAUAUCGUACCUAUAUUUUGAGUUUUCUGUGGAGAACGAAUGGCUCAAGUUAAUGAAGCUAAUGAAAUAUCAAAAACCUACCAA
Molecule: long non-coding RNA, 190 nt
Organism: Nilaparvata lugens (brown planthopper)
Lineage: Eukaryota; Metazoa; Arthropoda; Insecta; Hemiptera; Delphacidae
Exons: 2
Source: RefSeq, a predicted model, not a curated record